RNAcentral lists this ribosomal RNA (442 nucleotides) under uncultured bacterium. RNAcentral describes it as "partial 16S ribosomal RNA". It matches the Rfam family "Bacterial small subunit ribosomal RNA", at positions 338 to 795 of the family's 1533-position model. The record is from RNAcentral.
CCUACGGGCGGCAGCAGUAGGGAAUUUUUCACAAUGGGCGAAAGCCUGAUGGAGCAACGCCGCGUGCAGGAUGAAGGCCUUCGGGUUGUAAACUGCUUUUAUAAGCGAGAAAUAUGAUGGUAACUUAUGAAUAAGGAUCGGCUAACUACGUUCCAGCAGCCGCGGUCAUACGUAGGAUCCGAGCAUUAUCCGGAGUGACUGGGUGUAAAGAGUUGCGUAGGUGGCAUAAUAAGUAGCUAGUGAAAUCUGGUGGCUCAACCAUUCAGACUAUUAGCUAAACUGUUAAGCUCGAGACCGUUAGGGGUAACUGGAAUUUCUAGUGUAGGAGUGAAAUCCGUAGAUAUUAGAAGGAACACCAAUAGCGUAGGCAGGUUGCUGGGACGGUUCUGACACUAAGGCACGAAAGCGUAGGGAGCAAACGGGAUUAGAUACCCGAGUAGUC